RNAcentral lists this unclassified non-coding RNA (274 nucleotides) under Hevea brasiliensis (rubber tree). The record is from RNAcentral. Lineage: Eukaryota; Viridiplantae; Streptophyta; Magnoliopsida; Malpighiales; Euphorbiaceae.
GUCCAGAGCCCUUGGAUCAAAGAACAAGACAACAAGACCGGCGCUCUUUAUUCUCAGCCUUCGGAUCCCCCUUGACAAGAAAAUUCUGAGCCGUCAGAUUAGAAAGGAGAAAGGACAAAUAUGCAGAAAAGGAUCUCGGUCGUUCGUUUUGAUUCUUUUUAAUUCUCAACCAUCAGAUCAUGUCCUUUAAGACCCAAACCGUCCAUCUCCUUCAAGGGGAAUCCUGACCCUUCAUUGGGAGCACACGUUCCCUAUAAAUACCUGCAUGAAAAAC